AACCUCAGACAGAUAUAAAUACACUGCAAAAAACCAUAGCCUCUGUAUUUGGUUUGAGUACAGCAGAGGAAUCAUGAGCUGUUUUUUUCUUCUUCUGAUAUCAUCUGUUCCCUAUGUUCAUGGCAUCAGUCUGACCUCGUCUCCUGCUGAGGUUAAACCACCUGGGGCCUCUGUGAAACUGUCCUGUCAGAUUUCUGGCUAUGCCCUCACUGACUAUGGCACAGGCUGGAUCCGACAGCCUCCAGGAAAAGGCUUGGAGUGGAUUGGGAUCAUAUGGGGUGGUGGAAGCAUAGACUCUGGAUCUUCCUUUAAAACUCGUUUCAGCAUCUCCAGAGACACGAGUAACAACGUGCUUUACUUAGAUAUCAAUAGCCUGGUGCCAGAAGACACGGCUGUUUAUUAUUGUGCAAAGACCCACAGUGGUACAACCUGUAAGAGGACUGUACAAAAACAUUGUUUUGUUUUGUAAAGGGGAGGGGUAAACAUUUAAAUAUGUUAUACACACCUUACAUUUUU
Molecule: non-coding RNA, 516 nt
Organism: Clarias gariepinus (North African catfish)
Lineage: Eukaryota; Metazoa; Chordata; Actinopteri; Siluriformes; Clariidae
Source: the annotation of a RefSeq genome assembly